Long non-coding RNA from Pogoniulus pusillus (Red-fronted tinkerbird), 845 nucleotides. RefSeq lists it as uncharacterized. The record is from RefSeq and is a predicted model, not a curated record. The transcript has 2 exons. Lineage: Eukaryota; Metazoa; Chordata; Aves; Piciformes; Lybiidae.
ACAGGUAAUGGCCAUCUUCACUCUACUCAAAGCUGUCCUGGCCACAGCUGGAGUACUGUGUUCACUUUUAGUCACUGCUCUGCAAAACAGAUGUGGUUGGCCUGCAGAGGAUACACAGAGGAGCACAGUAAUAUGAUCCAAGAACUGGGAAGUUGCCGUAUGAGGAAACCCUGAAAGAACAGGUUUUGAUCACCUCCAGUAGUUAAAAGGAGGCUACAAAAAGGUGGAGGCUCCCUUUUUACAAGCAGUCCCAUGGAAGAAGACAUGGGAUAAUGGGAACAAGUCAGCCCUACGGAGAUUCCAGACACUCUGCCCCAGGCCUAGAGCAUUCAUGGCAUUUUUAUCGGCUUGGCCGGUACAGCUGAAGGCUGUGCAGCUAUCCAGAGAGACCUGGACUGACUGGAGAGCUGGGCACAGAGGAACCAGAUGAAGUUCAACAAGGGCAAGUGCAGGGUCCUGCACCUGGGGAGGAAUAAUAAACUGCACCAGUCCAGGCUGGGAGGGCAUCUGCUGGAGAGCAGCCCUGUGAAGAGGGGUGGCUUCUCUGGAGACUUCCAAGGCUUUAAGUUCCAGGAACUCAAGCAAGAGGAUCCACCUUAUCAUAUAAGGAGGGGUCAAGAAAAGGGACACCCGAGGAGGACUACCCGCCUUCAGCACGACGAUCACCAGGAGGCAGAGAAAGACCCCCAAGCAACACAUCGCACAUGCGCAGAGUACUACAGGAAGAACACGCCAGACUAUGAAAGGAGGGACUGGAACUGGCUCGGUGCGGCAGUUGGCAGAGCGGAGGCUCCCCUGCGCCCAGCGCUGCUCCCUGCUUGCCAAAAUAAAAUUCCUUAAACUUA